This 371-nucleotide unclassified non-coding RNA is filed under the name Hevea brasiliensis (rubber tree). The record is from RNAcentral. Lineage: Eukaryota; Viridiplantae; Streptophyta; Magnoliopsida; Malpighiales; Euphorbiaceae.
UACUCUUUGAUAUACAGAAUAAGGUCAAUGCACUUGUUGCAAACUAUUCUGGCUCAGUUGUAUCCCUAAAUGAUAUAUGCUUGAAGCCACUCGGUGAGGAUUGUGCCACACAAAGUAUUCUACAGUACUUUAAAAUGGACCCUGAAAAUUUCGAUGACUAUGGAGGAGUGGAACAUGCUGAGUAUUGCUUCCAGCAUUAUGCUUCCACGGAGACAUGUUUCAGUGCUUUCAAGGCUCCGCUUGAUCCCAGCACAUCCUUGGGUGGAUUUGUUGGGAACAAUUAUUCUGAGGCCUCCGCGUUUGUUGUUACAUAUCCUGUUAAUAAUGCAAUCGAUGCUGUUGGCAAUGAGAAUGGGAAAGCAAUAGCAUGG